RNAcentral lists this ribosomal RNA (441 nucleotides) under uncultured bacterium. Its description in RNAcentral is "partial 16S ribosomal RNA". It matches the Rfam family "Bacterial small subunit ribosomal RNA", at positions 338 to 795 of the family's 1533-position model. The record is from RNAcentral.
CCUACGGGAGGCAGCAGUGGGGAAUAUUGCACAAUGGGCUAAACCCUGAUGCAGCGACGCCGCGUGAGUGAAGACGUAUUUCUGUAUUUAAAGCUCUAUCAGCAGGGAAGAAGCAAGACGUUACCUGACUAAGAAGCCCCGGCUAACUACGUGCCAGCAGCCGCGGUAAUACGUCGGGGGCAAGCGGUAUCCGGAUGUACUGGGGUUAAAGGGAGGGUAGACGGUAUGGCAAGUCUGAAGUUAAAGUCCAGGGGCUAAACCUGGGACUGCUUUUGAAACUGUUAGACUAGAGUGCUGGAGAGGUAAGUGGAAUUCCUAGUGUAGCGGUGAAAUGCGUAGAUAUUAGGAGGAACACCAGUGGCGAAGGCGGCUUACUGGAGAGUAACUGACGUUGAGGCUCGAAAGCGUGGGUAUCGAACAGGAUUAGAUACCCGAGUAGUC